Molecule: ribosomal RNA, 867 nt
Filed under: uncultured bacterium
Lineage: Bacteria
Description: bacterial SSU rRNA
Rfam family: Bacterial small subunit ribosomal RNA
Source: RNAcentral
GCUGGCGGAAUGCUUUACACAUGCAAGUCGAACGGCAGCACGGACUUCGGUCUGGUGGCGAGUGGCGAACGGGUGAGUAACAUAUCGGAACGUAUCCAAUAAUGGGGGAUAACUAAUCGAAAGGUUGGCUAAUACCGCAUACGCCCUACGGGGGAAAGCUAGGGACCUUCGGGCCUGGCGUUAAUGGAGCGGCUGAUAUCUGAUUAGCUAGUAGGUGAGGUAAAGGCUCACCUAGGCGACGAUCAGUAGCUGGUCUGAGAGGACGACCAGCCACACUGGAACUGAGACACGGUCCAGACUCCUACGGGAGGCAGCAGUGGGGAAUUUUGGACAAUGGGCGAAAGCCUGAUCCAGCCAUUCCGCGUGAGUGAAGAAGGCCUUCGGGUUGUAAAGCUCUUUCGCAAGGGAAGAAAACUUAGGCGCUAAUAUCGCUUGAGGUUGACGGUACCUUGAUAAGAAGCACCGGCUAACUACGUGCCAGCAGCCGCGGUAAUACGUAGGGUGCGAGCGUUAAUCGGAAUUACUGGGCGUAAAGCGUGCGCAGGCGGUUUUGUAAGUCAGAUGUGAAAUCCCCGAGCUCAACUUGGGAACUGCGUUUGAAACUAUAAGACUAGAAUAUGUCAGAGGGGGGUAGAAUUCCACGUGUAGCAGUGAAAUGCGUAGAGAUGUGGAGGAAUACCAAUGGCGAAGGCAGCCCCCUGGGAUAAUAUUGACGCUCAUGCACGAAAGCGUGGGGAGCAAACAGGAUUAGAUACCCUGGUAGUCCACGCCCUAAACGAUGUCUACUAGUUGUUGGUGGAGUAAAAUCCAUGAGUAACGCAGCUAACGCGUGAAGUUAAACGCCUGGGGAGUCCGGUCGCAAGAUUA